CCUACGGGAGGCAGCAGUGAGGAAUAUUGGUCAAUGGACGAGAGUCUGAACCAGCCAAGUAGCGUGAAGGAUGACUGCCCUAUGGGUUGUAAACUUCUUUUAUAUGGGAAUAAAGGUAUCCACGUGUGGAUAUUUGCAUGUACCCUAUGAAUAAGCAUCGGCUAACUCCGUGCCAGCAGCCGCGGUAAUACGGAGGAUGCGAGCGUUAUCCGGAUUUAUUGGGUUUAAAGGGUGCGUAGGUUGUUUUUUAAGUCAGCGGUGAAAGUUUGUGGCUCAACCAUAAAAUUGCCGUUGAAACUGGAAGACUUGAGUGUGUUUGAGGUAGGCGGAAUGCGUGGUGUAGCGGUGAAAUGCAUAGAUAUCACGCAGAACUCCGAUUGCGAAGGCAGCCUGCUGGACUGCAACUGACGUUGAGGCCCGAAAGCGUGGGGAGCAAACAGGAUUAGAUACCCCAGUAGUC
Molecule: ribosomal RNA, 460 nt
Filed under: uncultured bacterium
Lineage: Bacteria
Description: partial 16S ribosomal RNA
Rfam family: Bacterial small subunit ribosomal RNA
Source: RNAcentral